This 254-nucleotide ribosomal RNA is filed under the name uncultured bacterium. Its description in RNAcentral is "partial 16S ribosomal RNA". It matches the Rfam family "Bacterial small subunit ribosomal RNA", at positions 524 to 776 of the family's 1533-position model. The record is from RNAcentral.
UACGUAGGUGGCGAGCGUUGUCCGGAUUUACUGGGCGUAAAGAGCGCGCAGGCGGUCGUGCAAGUCGCGUGUGAAAGCCCCCGGCUCAACUGGGGAGGGUCACGCGAUACUGCUCGACUCGAAGGCAGGAGAGGGAAGUGGAAUUCCCGGUGUAGUGGUGAAAUGCGUAGAUAUCGGGAGGAACACCAGUGGCGAAGGCGACAUCCUGGACCACGACUGACGCUGAGUGAGCGAAAGCCAGGGGAGCAAACGGG